CCAGUUCGGAUAAGAGGCUGAAACUCGCCUCUUUGAAGUCGGAAUCGCUAGUAAUCGCAGAUCAGCAUGUUGCGGUGAAUACGUUUCCUGGUCUUGUACACACCGCCCGUCAAACCAUGAGAGUCGCUAACACCCGAAGUCCGCUUUGCGGCCUAAGGUGGGGGAGAUGAUUGGGGUUAAGUCGUAACAAGGUACC
RNAcentral lists this ribosomal RNA (196 nucleotides) under uncultured bacterium. Its description in RNAcentral is "partial 16S ribosomal RNA". It matches the Rfam family "Bacterial small subunit ribosomal RNA", at positions 1288 to 1500 of the family's 1533-position model. The record is from RNAcentral.